UUGACCUCAAAUCAGGUAAGAAU
This 23-nucleotide ribosomal RNA is filed under the name Yamadazyma aaseri. RNAcentral's name for it is "[Candida] aaseri partial 26S ribosomal RNA". The record is from RNAcentral. Lineage: Eukaryota; Fungi; Ascomycota; Pichiomycetes; Serinales; Debaryomycetaceae.